GGGCAGAAGACGCUUGCUUUGCCAAUGUACUAAAAUUGGAAUGAUACACAGAUUAACAUAGCCUCUUGCAAGGAUAACACGCAAACUCACGAAGCAUUCCAUGUUUUC
This 108-nucleotide small nuclear RNA is filed under the name Procavia capensis (Cape rock hyrax). The record is from RNAcentral. Lineage: Eukaryota; Metazoa; Chordata; Mammalia; Hyracoidea; Procaviidae.